AUGAACGCUGGCGGCGUGCCUAAUACAUGCAAGUCGAGCGAACAGACGAGGAGCUUGCUCCUCUGACGUUAGCGGCGGACGGGUGAGUAACACGUGGAUAACCUACCUAUAAGACUGGGAUAACUUCGGGAAACCGGAGCUAAUACCAGAUAAUAUAUUGAACCGCAUGGUUCAAUAGUGAAAGACGGUUUUGCUGUCACUUAUAGAUGGAUCCGCGCCGCAUUAGCUAGUUGGUAAGGUAACGGCUUACCAAGGCAACGAUGCGUAGCCGACCUGAGAGGGUGAUCGGCCACACUGGAACUGAGACACGGUCCAGACUCCUACGGGAGGCAGCAGUAGGGAAUCUUCCGCAAUGGGCGAAAGCUUGACGGAGCAACGCCGCGUGAGUGAUGAAGGUCUUCGGAUCGUAAAACUCUGUUAUUAGGGAAGAACAAAUGUGUAAGUAACUAUGCACGUCUUGACGGUACCUAAUCAGAAAGCCACGGCUAACUACGUG
RNAcentral lists this ribosomal RNA (496 nucleotides) under uncultured bacterium. RNAcentral describes it as "partial 16S ribosomal RNA". It matches the Rfam family "Bacterial small subunit ribosomal RNA", at positions 29 to 507 of the family's 1533-position model. The record is from RNAcentral.